AAUACCGGAUAUUAUGAGAUUCUCGCAUGAGAAACUUAUGAAAGCUAUAUGCGCCAAGAGAGAGCCUUGCGUUCCAUUAGCUAGUUGGUGGGGUAACGGCCCACCAAGGCGACGAUGGAUAGCCGGCCUGAGAGGGUGAACGGCCACAAGGGGACUGAGACACGGCCCUUACUCCUACGGGAGGCAGCAGUGGGGAAUAUUGGACAAUGGGCCACAAGCCUGAUCCAGCAAUUCUGUGUGCACGAUGAAGGUCUUCGGAUUGUAAAGUGCUUUCAGUUGGGAAGAAGAAAGUGACGGUACCAACAGAAGAAGCGACGGCUAAAUACGUGCCAGCAGCCGCGGUAAUACGUAUGUCGCAAGCGUUAUCCGGAUUUAUUGGGCGUAAAGCGCGUCUAGGCGGAAAAAUAAGUCUGAUGUUAAAAUGCGGGGCUCAACUCCGUAUUGCGUUGGAAACUGUUUUUCUAGAGUACUGGAGAGGUGGGCGGAACUACAAGUGUAGAGGUGAAAUUCGUAGAUAUUUGUAGGAAUGCCGAUGGAGAAGUCAGCUCACUGGACAGAUACUGACGCUGAA
This 571-nucleotide ribosomal RNA is filed under the name uncultured bacterium. Its description in RNAcentral is "bacterial SSU rRNA". It matches the Rfam family "Bacterial small subunit ribosomal RNA", at positions 165 to 750 of the family's 1533-position model. The record is from RNAcentral.